Molecule: ribosomal RNA, 776 nt
Filed under: uncultured Neocallimastigales
Lineage: Eukaryota; Fungi; Neocallimastigomycota; Neocallimastigomycetes; Neocallimastigales
Description: partial large subunit ribosomal RNA
Rfam family: Eukaryotic large subunit ribosomal RNA
Source: RNAcentral
UAUGUGAUCGUCUCUCGCAUAUCAAUAAGCGGAGGAAAAGAAACUAACAAGGAUUCCCCUAGUAACGGCGAGUGAAGCGGGAAGAGCUCAAAUUUGAAAUCUUAAAGGGUUUCCCUUUACGAAUUGUAGUUUAAAGAAGUGUUUUCUGUUGAGGUUUUGGUAAAAGUUCUUUGGAAUAGGACAUCAUAGAGGGUGAGAAUCCCGUAUUUGACCUUUACUUUCAACUUUGUGAUACACUUUCAAAGAGUCGGAUUGUUUGGGAAUGCAGGUCCAAAAUGGGUGGUAAAUUUCAUCUAAAGCUAAAUAUUGGCGAGAGACCGAUAGCGAACAAGUACCGUGAGGGAAAGGAUGAAAAGAACUUUGAAAAGAGAGUUAAACAGUACGUGAAAUUGUCAAAAGGGAAGCGUUUGACACCAGUGUUGUUUUUCUGAAAAUCAAUUAAAGAACUGUUUAUGCUAAGCUGUUUAGACUUUAUCAGCUAUCUGUUUAGUUUUGAGCUUUUCUUUAAUGCACUUUUCAGUUAACAAGUCAACAUCAAUUUCUUUUGCUGUAAAAAAGCUUGAGGAAGGUGGCUUGAGAUUCGUCUUAAGUGUUUAUAGCCUCUUGCCUAUGCAGUCGGAGAGAUUGAGGUCUGCAGCGUAGAUCCUUCGGGGCUAAAUGCAUUUGUGCUAAGUUAUAGCAUUUUAUAGACAACUUGUUGACUAUGAUUUGUCUUGUAGCUUACUCGCUUAUGUUAUUUUACCUACGCUUAGGAUGUUGAGCGCAUGUCUCUCUCU